This 272-nucleotide ribosomal RNA is filed under the name uncultured bacterium. RNAcentral describes it as "partial 16S ribosomal RNA". It matches the Rfam family "Bacterial small subunit ribosomal RNA", at positions 95 to 354 of the family's 1533-position model. The record is from RNAcentral.
CCGGCACGGGUGGAGUAACGACGUGUGCAACCUACGCCCGGCCGACAGUGGGAGUAAUACCGGACGAAAUACCCGGUCUAAUACCGCAUGACGCGGGAGAGGCGCAUGCCCUUUCCGCCAAAGGAGGCGACUCCGGUGCCGGCUGGGCACGCGUGACAUUAGCUAGUUGGCGGGGCGACGGCCCACCAAGGCGACGAUGUCUAGGGGUUCUGAGAGGAAGGUCCCCCACACUGGUACUGAGACACGGACCAGACUCCUACGGGAGGCAGCAG